GAUGAAAGAACGUAGCGAAAUGCGAUAAGUAGUGUGAAUUGCAGAAUUCAGUGAAUCAUCGAAUCUUUGAACGCACAUUGCGCCCCUUGGUAUUCCAUGGGGCAUGCCUGUUCGAGCGUCAUUUGUACCUUCAAGCUUUGCUUGGUGUUGGGUGUUUGUCUCGCCUUUGCGUGUAGACUCGCCUUAAAAUAAUUGGCAGCCGGCGUAUUGAUUUCGGAGCGCAGUACAUCUCGCGCUUUGCACUCAUAACGACAGCGUCCAAAAGUACAUUUUACACUCUUGACCUCGGAUCAGGUAGGGAUACCCGCUGAACUUAAGCAUAUCAAUAAGCGGAGGA
RNAcentral lists this unclassified non-coding RNA (337 nucleotides) under soil metagenome. Its description in RNAcentral is "partial contains 5.8S ribosomal RNA, internal transcribed spacer 2, and large subunit ribosomal RNA". The stretch from base 6 to 121 matches the Rfam family "5.8S ribosomal RNA", at positions 39 to 154 of the family's 154-position model. The record is from RNAcentral.